GACGAACGCUGGCGGCGUGCUUAACACAUGCAAGUCGAACGGAAAGGCCCUGCUUUUGUGGGGUGCUCGAGUGGCGAACGGGUGAGUAACACGUGAGUAACCUGCCCUUGACUUUGGGAUAACUUCAGGAAACUGGGGCUAAUACCGGAUAGGAGCUCCUGCUGCAUGGUGGGGGUUGGAAAGUUUCGGCGGUUGGGGAUGGACUUGCGGCUUAUCAGCUUGUUGGUGGGGUAGUGGCUUACCAAGGCUUUGAUGGGUAGCCGGCCUGAGAGGGUGACCGGCCACAUUGGGACUGAGAUACGGCCCAGACUCCUACGGGAGGCAGCAGUGGGGAAUAUUGCACAAUGGGCGGAAGCCUGAUGCAGCAACGCCGCGUGCGGGAUGACGGCCUUCGGGUUGUAAACCGCUUUCGCCUGUGACGAAGCGUGAGUGACGGUAAUGGGUAAAGAAGCACCGGCUAACUACGUG
RNAcentral lists this ribosomal RNA (468 nucleotides) under uncultured bacterium. Its description in RNAcentral is "partial 16S ribosomal RNA". It matches the Rfam family "Bacterial small subunit ribosomal RNA", at positions 28 to 507 of the family's 1533-position model. The record is from RNAcentral.